GAUGACCUUACUGGCAUAUGGCACCCUGUCCCAAAGUAGAAAUCAUGAUUCUCCUGUUUGCACUGAAUAAGCUCUAUGGCCCAUCCUCUUUGGAGCUCAGUGCAGUUAAUCUAAUCUACUGAUACUUAAUCCACGACUCUUUAGCUGCCUGUGGCUCUUUACAGGUCUUCAUGAGGCUCUCAGAAAUUGUGCACAUCUGUGUGGCACUCCACUCCUCUAUUUGGAUUUGGCAAAUCAAUUCACCGGUGUUGAAAUAGCUGAGAUUUUCCUCCCUGUAGAUGGGGUGAAAAGGAGCCACUGGGAUUGUCUCCGUAUGUAAGAGUGAAACCACUUCCAAGUCACAGCCAGGAGAGGAGGAGAAAGAGG
Trachemys scripta elegans is the source of this 366-nucleotide long non-coding RNA. RefSeq lists it as uncharacterized. The record is from RefSeq and is a predicted model, not a curated record. The transcript is spliced from 2 exons. NCBI's taxonomy places the organism in Eukaryota, Metazoa, Chordata, Testudines, Emydidae.